Molecule: long non-coding RNA, 1881 nt
Filed under: Helianthus annuus (common sunflower)
Lineage: Eukaryota; Viridiplantae; Streptophyta; Magnoliopsida; Asterales; Asteraceae
Description: hypothetical non coding rna
Source: RNAcentral
UGGAUCGAGUUCAGGGGAGCUCCAAGGAGCCAAACCCUAACAUCUAACAUAAUCAUCAAAUUGAAGGUCAAAAUGAAGUUCAAAUUCACAAUCAAACAUGAAUAAACGAUCACCAAGUCAAGGGGAUCGUAAGUUUGACUCUUGACAAGCUAGACGGAGGCUUGGGAAAAGAAGCGGGUCAAACGAAGCAAGAAUGGCGGAAAAGCAUAAUUCGGAUGCAAGGUAAGUGUAACUUACACUAGUCUUAAAUUGUGGAAUGUUUUCUUAUCAUAUAAAUUAUGAAUGAGGUGUCUAAACAAUUGAAAUAUGAUGUUCCGUCGUGUAAUCGAACGGAACAAGAAAAUCAAAGCUAAAUGGUCAAUUUGGCCAAACGGGUUAAAAGGUGUAGAUAACACCUUUUGACUAUAUAGACUAAUGAUUCUUUUGUCGAGUCAUAUGCUUACAGGAAUAGAUAUCCAAUGGAUAUUCGCACCGAUCUUAAUUAGCGAAUAUAAAGCAAGGUAUUAAGAUCGGGUCUAUUUGUUGACCCGAGUCAGGUACGCUUAUUUAUGAUGUAUGUAAAAAUACUAAUUUGGUCGAAUAUUUAGUGAUAGCCCUUCAUUGUAAAAGAAGGACCAAAAUCGACCAAAAUGCCCUUGUAGGCUAAAUUGAACAAACAACCUUUAAAGGUUGUUUGGAAACGAGUUUUGCGAUAAGAUAAAUACUUAGAAUAAGUAUAGAAGUUGAAGGGGGUAUUGUUUUUAGUCAAACGGCACUAUUGAGUUUUGCCGUAAAAUAUUGAUUUUAGAGGUAAAAUUUGGGUUAUAUAAGAUCACCAUAAUAAACUCACCUUAAACGCAGCCGAGGUGGGGUAUUAUAGGGUAAGAAAUGUGGUGAUGGAAUACUAGAAGAAAUCGAGAGCGUUUUUAGGCUUGAAUAUGCUUAAAUACCCUUAACGGGUCAAAAUAAACAUCCGAGUGAAAAUGGGUUUAAUUUGAGUAAUUAAACCGGCGAUUAAAAUUUAAUAUGAUAGGCAACGUUAAGUCGAAGAAGUAUAUGUGAUAUAAGGGCCAAAUAAACAUGUUUGAUGGUGAAAUCACAAACGGGUCAAAAUAGGCAAAAGGGGGAAAUAAGCCGAAGACUUAGAAGUCUUAAAAUUUUGUUAAUCCGGAUGUCGGAUUUUAACUCCAUAUGAUGGAGAAUUAAAUUACGGACGCGUAGGAAAAAGAAUCGUGUAAAACGGAUUAAAAACGAGAGAGUUAUGUCCGUUUCGGUAAGAACUAAUGAAAAAUAGACGUGCAGAGUUGACACGGGCGGGUGACUUUUUGACACGGCCGGGUGGCUGGGCUGUGAAAAAUAUAUGUUAACUGACACGGCCGGGUGACUUUUUGACACGGCCGGGUGAAGGGGCUGAAAACAAAACAAAAAUAAUUUCUUGUUUUGUUACGUUAAGCACGGAACUUGUUUAUACUCGAUUCUUAAAGUGUCAAAACUAAUUAUUUACAUGGUUUUGACCGUAGGUGAAGAUGGGAUAAGCGGUUUGAAAGAUACGAAAGUUUUCGUGCAAAUAAACGGCAAAAUAGGAAAGUUGGAAUGCAAGGGCCACCGUAACUUACGGUGCCACCGUAAGUUACGGUGGAGCUGAAAGCUUUACGGUAGCUUCCUACUGAAUUACGGUGAAUGUCAAGAGUCUCGGAUAAAGAUCAAGCAUCGAGCAAGAACCGAACACGCGUUAAAUAAAGCUUCCACAAUGUUGUUUCGUCAUUAUUUUAAAACGGCGAAUUAAACCACUUUAUGUGGUGUUACUAUAAUUUGUGAAAGUUUUCUUUAAUCCCGUAUUUCCAAUGUAUGUAAUCAUUAAUUUCAUGGAUGUUUUCGCAAAAUAUACAUUAAACCUUGAUU